GCCCUUGUGGCGGAAUUGGUAGACGCGGUAGACUCAAAAUCUACUAUUCGCAAGGAUGUGGGAGUUCGAGUCUCCCCGAGGGCACCA
RNAcentral lists this transfer RNA (87 nucleotides) under Candidatus Finniella inopinata. RNAcentral's name for it is "tRNA-Leu". It matches the Rfam family "tRNA". From Rfam's summary of the family: Transfer RNA (tRNA) molecules are approximately 80 nucleotides in length. Their secondary structure includes four short double-helical elements and three loops (D, anti-codon, and T loops). The record is from RNAcentral. Lineage: Bacteria; Pseudomonadati; Pseudomonadota; Alphaproteobacteria; Holosporales; Candidatus Paracaedibacteraceae.